AAGAGCUGCAAAUUUGAUCUCUUAUAACAGUUAACAAGUCUCCUACUGAAGUACUUUAAGUAAACCAACAUUUUUUUUUAAAGCUUGACUUUGCGAAUAGAUAAGAACACAUACAUUAUACAUAAUACACCAACACAUACAAUAUACAUAAAAUCGAAAGAAAUUAAAAGCUUGACUUGUGAACUCAGAGACUACACAUUACAUUAAUAUAUUAAAUUGACCCAUAUAUAAACAAUGUCAACCACCACAUGUCCACGGGUUUAGUUGUAGGACUAGGGAGCUGGAGUGCGACCACCACCAUGUCCACUGCUUGAUGGUCCUGCAAAUAUGUCUCCAUUUGGCCUAUAAAUACUCAUCAACCUUCUCCCUGCAAUUCGUAUAUAUUAAUUAUUUAAAUAAUUCAGUUUCAAACGACGAUAAAAGGCAACAAAUUCUAGACAAACUAUGUUAAUGAAACCAGAUUAGAAAAAUUGGAAAAAAAAAUCGAGGUAAAAAUAUAAGAAAAGAUUGAUUAUAUUAUAGAUCUGUGGCAUUAUGACCACCACUUUGUACUUGUAUUCUGGUGGUGGGUGGUGCAUCUCGUGGCCUGGGUGCACGGCCACACUAUACACUAUACAAACAACUUAUAUUCUUUCUAAUGUUAGCUAAGCUCCGGUGGUUUCGAUAUCAAUCCUACUUAACGCUGCAAGACAUAUUCAAUAUCUUAUCCACAGACAAAUUUCAUGAACUCUUUCAUUAGUUUAGACUAUUCAUGUCGUGUCAAAUGCCAGUUAAGCAACUUAUACGCGUUAUGGCUUCUGCAUAUUAUUUGCUUGUGUUUAAACUUGAACACUAACCGGUGACUGGAAAUGGUUGCUGGUGAGAAGGUAGAGCAGAUUCGGUAAGGCAAGGGAGGACGCAAAUAAAUAGAAGCACAAUGAGUACUUGACUUAGCUGUGAAGAACCCAUGUCUCUCGUCUCUUUAUCUUUAUAUCUUCCUUCACCGAUAGAAGUCUUUAUAUAGCGAUGGAUCUAACAAAUUCUAUUAAAACUAGAGAUAAAGAUAUCCAAAAUGAAAAAAAGUAUGAUUCUUCUUCUCCACUCAGUUUAAUUAUUGCCCCUCUUGUUAUCCUUUUUUUUGUCGCCAUCUAGGAUAUCUCUUACUUAUUUAUUUGUUCUCGAAACCAGCCAAAUUGGCUUUGAAUUAUUAAGAUAAGUGGAGACAUCUCAUGGUAUGAUAGACCGAACGAUCUAGUUUACUAUCAUCACUAAAUUUUUGACCCGUGCUUUCAAAACUUAGAUUUAAUUUUUGGUUAAUUUUUGAAAAUUUUGAUCUACAUAUUUAUGUUAAAAAAAUAGAUAUUCAAUGUUUUCAUAUCUGACAUGGACCCGCGAUAAAUCCGGUGAUCUAUAUAUAAUUUGGUACACAUCUAUCAAUUAUCCCUUUUUAGCAACAUCUAUCAAUUAUCCUAAGAUCUAAAUUAAAAGUGAUUAUUCUAAAACUAGCAUUAGUUUCAGUUCAGAUGAAGAACAAAAAGAUUACCCUACGAAUUUUAUUCAAUCUAACAAUUCAUCUUUAACCUUUGAAAAACUCUAAAUCUACCAAGCAGAUUAUUCAGUAAUUAAAUAAAUUGCAUUAAGAAAUCAAAAGAGUUAAUAAAUGAGUUCGAGAUAUUCUCUCUACAAAGUGAGUUUCAGAUUUGUCUCUCCUAAAAUAUCAAGCAAUUUCUCUCCAAAGUCCGAAUACUAUUACAAUAACUUUACAAACCUAAAAUAUAGUCUAAAACACUAAAAUGACUUGUUUGCAAAUAAGUGGAAAUUUUGGAUCAGUCUUCAAUUCUUGAAACUUUUUAAAAACUCGUAGAGGAGUGUGGCUGUGAUCGGUGUCGACGACACUAAUUGGUGAAGUCGAUUGACACCAAGUCUAAAAAUUCAAUCCGACUUGUUCUUUUCAGCUACAAUGCUCCUUGGAUUUUAAAGUGCUUGAAAAACUUUAAUUUUUUUCAAAACGUACAUGAAUGUACAAUAACUCAAAAUACUCGAAAAUCACCAAAAAUUUCAAAAACUGGAUUUAUCUCAUGGUCAAAAGUCCAGAAAACCCAUGAUAUAUCAGUUGGUUAAUUGAAAUCUUAAGUUGAGAUACAAAUACAAAUAACUAUUGAUCUCUUAAAUUUAUUCAUUUCUAGAAGAAUCAAUUUCGUGUGUAAGUAUUUUUUACUUUAUUGUCGUUUUGUAGAUUUCAAAGUUAAAAGUUCCAAUUUUUUGUAAUAAAGGUGGUUUCUUUCUUUUUUGGGUUUCUUGUAACUUGGUGCUGGAGAAAACAGACGACUUUCCCAGCAAAUAAAACACUUGGAUUAUGCAAUAACUUAAAAGUCCAUUAACUUGUUAUUUUGUAUCAAGUAUAGACUCUCACAAGAUUGUCUUCCGAGAGACUGAGACACACUAACAAGAACAAAAUUAGAAACCAGGACCUCAAACACUCAAUGAUUCUAAUGGUCCUUUGCAAGAAAAAAUAUAUUAAACACUAGUUCAGGUUGGACAGUGUAUAGGACUACAAAAACAGACAUAGAAAUGGUCAAGUGAUAUGCAAAUUGGAUUUCUUAUAACAGUUAACAAGUCUCCUACCGAAGUACUUGAAGUAAAACAACACUUUUUUCUUCAUAUUCAUUAUAAACUAGCGAACAGAAAUUUAAGAACACAUACAUUAUACAGUAAAUACUCAUUAAAUUAAUAUUCGAUAAAUUAACAUAAUAAUUAAUACAUUUCAUCAGUUCUGAAUUGGACUGGUUCAAAAUAUAAUACAAAUCAAUAAAAUAAUAUAAUAAUAUUUCUUUAAAUUUUUUUUACAUAUAUAUGAUCCCGUUAAAAUCAUAAAUUAUUAAUUUAUAUAUAUGCAGUUCAUGUAAGUAGAAACUAAAUUUCUUUUUUGGUUCACAAAGGAGUCUAAUUCUAUUUUGCGUAAUGUGUUAAAAUAUUUCGAUGAUAUUUAAUAAAAUUAUAUCUGAAACUCAUCUAACUCUUAUUAUACAUAUUUCAUAUGUAUACUAAGUUAUAUAAUAAAAUAAUAUGAAAGUCAAAUUUAAAACAGUAAAUUAACUAUUUUCUAUUUUACAAUAUAUAUAUAUAUAUAUUUUAAAUAUAUAAAAAUAUAAAUGAAAACUUUUGUAAAUUAAUAACUCUAUAAAUUAAAAAAAAAUACUAUAUAGUCCUAACAUUAUUAUUUUAUAGAGUUUUUAAUGUACAUAAUUCACCAACACAUACAAUAGACCCUUUUUUUUGUUUUUUUGAUCAACUCACAUACAAUAUACAUAAAAUCGAAAUAAAUUAAAAGCUUGACUUGUGAGCUCAGAGACUACACAUUACAUUAAUAUAUGUAGAACUAGAGGGAUGGAGUUCUACCACCACUGCACCACAUGUCCACGGGUUUAGAUGUAGAACUAGGGGGAUGGAGUUCUACCACCACCACCAGGUCGACUUGUUGAUGGUCCUGUAUCUAUCCCUGUACUCAUCAACCUUCUCCCUACAAUAUCAUAUAUAUAUUUAACUAUAUAAAUGAAAGGUAUGUGAAUAAUUCAGUUUCAAGCAACGAUAAAAGGCAGAAAAUUACUAUAGACGAACUAUGUUAAUGAAACCAGAUUAAAAAAAAAAAUGAAACAUUCGAGGGGAAAAUAUAUAAGAAGAGAUAGAUUAUAUUAUAGAUUUGUGUCAAAUUAUGACCACCACUUUGUACGUGUUGUGGUGGUGGUACAUCUCGUGGCCUAGGUAGACGGCCAAAAUAUUUUAAUUACAGAAUACAAAAAAAAAACAUUAUUAUAAUUUCUUAUUUAGCUAAACUUUUUUUUUUUGAGAAAAAAAAGAGAGCUAAAUUUCCAUUUCGACCUAUCCCACUUAACUUUUUGAGACAUAUUCAACAUCUCAUCCAUAGACAAAUUUCAUGAACUCAAAUGGCAGGUACGCAACUUAUAUGUGUUAUGGUUUAUGCAUGGUCGGAACUGGGCACAACUUAGUACAAGGAUCCAAAAUAUUUUAGAAGAUAAAAUCCAAAUUACAAAAUAUUUUAUUUAUUAAAGUUCUUCAAAAUUAUUUUCCCAUGAUAUCUCAGAUCCAGCUUGGAUUUAUGCAUGUUAAUUAUUUGUAUUGAAACACUAACCGAUGACUGAAAGUGGUUGUUGAUGAGACGGUAUAGCAGAUUCAGCAAGGCAAGGUAUGACGCAAAGAAGCAGAAGCACAAUGAAGGCUUGCCUUAGCUGUGAAGAACCCAUGUCUCUUAUCU
Molecule: long non-coding RNA, 4252 nt
Filed under: Brassica rapa (field mustard)
Lineage: Eukaryota; Viridiplantae; Streptophyta; Magnoliopsida; Brassicales; Brassicaceae
Description: long non-coding RNA (BRAP_LNC003998)
Source: RNAcentral